CAAUAGCGUAUAUUAAAGUUGUUGCAGUUAAAAAGCUCGUAGUUGGAUUUCUGGUGGGAGCACGGGUCGGCCUUCACGGGUUGUACUGUUGUUGCGUCCUGCCGUUUCGGAGGAAUGGUACAUGUUAUUAGGUUAGCGUGAUCGGAAACUCUGUCGUUUACUGUGAAAAAUUAGAGUGUUCAAAGCAGGCCUUCGCUGUGAAUACAUUAGCAUGGAAUAAUAAGAUAGGACUGUAGUGUCUAUUUUGUUGGUUUGCGUACUAUGGUAAUGAUUAAUAGGGAUAGUGGGGUAUUCAUAUUCAAUUGUCAGAGGUGAAAUUCUUGGAUUUAUGGAAGAUGAACUACUAGCGAAAAGCAUUUAACCAAGGAUUGUUUUCAUUAAUCAAGAACGAAAGUUAGGGGAUCGAAGAUGAUUAGAUACCAU
Molecule: ribosomal RNA, 423 nt
Filed under: uncultured eukaryote
Lineage: Eukaryota
Description: bacterial SSU rRNA
Rfam family: Eukaryotic small subunit ribosomal RNA
Source: RNAcentral